UCUGGGCUCUGUUCUGCAGAGUCGUGGACCACAACAGCUCAUUGCUCAAUCGGGGCAGUCACGUGAAUUUACUUUGGCUCUUUCUCACUUCCUAAAACCCCAACUCCUGGGUGGGUGACAGUGUGCGUGGUAAGUAUAAAUCACUCAUCAACUUCAACAAACAUUUGUUGAGUACGCCGUAUGUCGAAUUCUCUAAAAGACAGUAGGAAUGCGAAAAUCCGUAAACUACAUUUUCAACUCUUGGAUUCAGCUUCAGGAGAUUUUAUAAUCGGAGCUAAAUUAGGAGAGUCCCGUGGGGUCACUACUAAAGUGGAUUCCUUUUUGUUUUGUUUUUGUUGUUGUUUUUUUUUUUUUUUUUUUUUUGCUAAAAAUUAUUCACUACCCCUCCACCUCCAGGGGAGAAUACUUUCAUUUUUCCAUUUUUCCACCUGUUGAUUUUUGGGCUUGCCAACGUGGUCUGCUUUGGCCAAGAGGAACAAUGGCAGACAACUGACCUGAGGCUUGAAACAUGCUGCGCAGUGGGAAUCGCCCUCUGGUACCCCCACCAUUAUCACGAGGAGAGUUUCUCCCCGGGGUGAGAUGCCUGGAGCAGACCUGAGCCCAACCCAAGUGUGAAGCCCAGCCCAGCUGACCCAAGUUUGAGGCAGAACCGCCCAGCUGAGCCCAGCCAGGACCAGCCAACUUCCCGCUGACCCAAGAUGCAUGGGGGCGAAUGACUGCUGCUUUAAGCCUCUUUCUUUUGGACUGGCGUGUUACCCAGAACUUGCUGACCAAUACAGUUUGGUGACUGCAAAAGCUAUAAAGGCAGAUACAGAGGGGCUGUUUGGGGGACUCAGAUGACACGAGCCAUGUUGCUAUCACUCAUGUGCUCCUUUAGUGGUGGGAAACCGCGACACCCACAACCACCACAAAUGCCAACAUCCGCGUGGUUGCCGCAGUGAAGGUGCUUCGGGCCGGAUCCUACUCCCGGCUCCACUUCUUCACCCCCGCCCCACGCCCUUGGCCGUGUUCAGAAUGCUUGGCCCCCUGACUUGCCCGAGCUGAAAGCACACGGUGGAAGGGACAGCGGGGCCCCGAGCCCGGGCCUCGACGCCUCCAGACGCCUGUCCCUUUCUUCUGAUUCCUGUGCUCCUGCCAUUCCCACGAGGAAGGCACGUCCAGGCGGGCGCACCGGUUCCAGGAGGAGGAUGAGAGACACGUGGGGCUGAGCCGGAUGAUCCUGCCAAGGGGACCCUGGACAAGCCAGUCCCCCAGGCCCGCCAGGAUGGGAAGGCCCAGCCCGUGUGCCACCUGAAAGAGCAGCAUGACAGGUGCCACUACGAUGACAACAUCUGCCUCUUGCGGUCUCUUCCCUGCCCCCCGACGUCCGCGCAAACCCAAGCCGGUCCCUCUGGCCCUGUGGACGCUCCCACCACAUGGGCUUAAAGUGGAGAGGGUUGGCCUCCCAAGGGAAUCGGGGUCUGGUGCACAGGCAGGCUGCUCAGGCCUCACAGCGACAUGCUCCUCGGGCUCCCAGCCUGUCUCCGCAGUAGGUCUGGAGGCUGGGGUGCUUGUACCCCACUACCAAAGCAGGGGGCAAGCCCUCCGGGUCCCUGUGGGAAGCUCCAUGAUUUGUCCACAUCCUCGGGGAAGGGGGUCACCGAAUCGGGCCCGUCUUAGUGGCAUCAGAGAUUUCCCUCUGCGGGAUGGAGAGGCCUGAGCCCGGCUCUGCGCGUAGGCCUCGGGGACCUGCGUCCAGCUCCGCCGCUGGUUUCCCUUGAGCAUCCUGCUAUGUCCCCCGACGUCCCUCCGCUCAAGGAUUUUCCUGUGCAGACACACAAUAAAAAGAAAUAUUCUCAGCUUCUUGUUAUGAGCCCCUAUCUGGGCCCCUCUCAGCAAAUAUUCAACACGCAUGACUUUUACUGUGUCUAACUGAAUAUUGGGUGAGUGGUUUGUUUGUUUGUUUUUUCUUCCCCAAAUU
This is a long non-coding RNA of Canis lupus familiaris (dog), 1960 nucleotides long. RefSeq lists it as uncharacterized. The transcript has 3 exons. NCBI's taxonomy places the organism in Eukaryota, Metazoa, Chordata, Mammalia, Carnivora, Canidae. The record is from RefSeq and is a predicted model, not a curated record.